GCCCCUGGCCACAUUCCCCAGAGGUACAGUCACCCAUGCCCUGUCCAGCUUCACCUGGGGGCCCAACCCUUUCUGAGCCCCUGGCUGCGGUGACAGUGCACAAUGCAGAGGGAUCACAAGCCAGCCAACAGGAUGCAUGAGGCCUGCCAUGAGUUGAAUUGUGCCUCCAAAAAGGUGACACUGCAUGUGAGAAAGGCGCUGGUGGCACAGCUUCCAGGAGCUGGAAGAGGAGGUGGAAGUGAGCAGCCCACCCGCACAGCUGAGGCUGCUCUGGCACAGGAGACCCUUCCAGCAGCAGGUGUGGUGGCCCUGUGUGGGCAGUGACUGCCUUCUGGGGACAGCCCAUGUCCAUACGCCUGUGAUGGCUCAGCCCAGACCUGGUCAUGGCAAUCAUACCAGGAAUGGCACCCAGCACCCAGCAUGCUGAGGAGCUUCUGGAGAAAGGCUCUCUUGAGCCCACUGUGCAGGAGGACCCUCCUGAGCACACAGCUAGGACAGAGGAGCCAAGGGUGAAGACACGAAAGGACAGACACCCAGUCCCACGGACCAUGUCUGGGCUCCUGGGUGCAGCCGCUCCUAAAGCCCAGGCUUCUGACAGGAGGAGUCAGCAGGUUUGUUUCCGCUUACACUGGCUGGGAAUCGAGCUUCUGUCACUGUCUUUCCAACCAAUGCUCACGGCUGGCUUUUGUUUCAGAACUAUUUGCACAAAGGAAGAAACUGUUGUGUUGUUGCCAUUGCUUUUAAUCUCUUGAGGAGAGUUACAAAGAGCCACAGAGUGACAUGGUGUGGGUCCUGCCCAGUGACAUCCCUCACCCUUAGCACUGAGCUUGUGCUGUUUAAAAACUGUUUCUGCAAAUGACAAGCUACCACCUCUUCCAGACUUUCAAGAUUGGCUUUGGGCAACUGAAGUUGCUGCUGUAAUGAAGGCCAAGAAUCUACUGCAUGAAAAGGUUUUCUCCCCCACUGCACCCUCUCAACAACCUGGCCAGGCCUGUGCUUCACUGAGGCACUGGGACAGCCCGUGCACAGUGCCACCCAGGCCUGGUUCAGAGCUGGCCCUGACCCCAGGACUCUGAGCAUCUUUGGCGCUUGCAAGAGCUCCCUGGGGAAAGUUCUAGCCAUGCCAUUUGGAAAGCAACAGAGCUAUGUGAGCAUGAAAUCCUGCAUGCGAUUUACCGUAAUCAAUUUGAGAUCUUAGAAAAGAAAAUAAACAGCUUGAGAUCAAGUGGGGUAAAAAAAAAAACCUUCACAAGGCUUUGCACAGAGCCUGAGAUAAACAAACCUCAAAGGCCUAUUUCUCGACGGUUCUUGGGGCCAGGCAGGCAGUGGUUGGCAGUGCUCAGCUAGGUUUACGUCUGCCCAUGCUGUCCGCACCCUGGCUUUGGUCUGUUAGGAAUGGCUAACAAACAGGAGGCAUUGACUUUGGUACAAAGGCCAAAGAAGAGAAGCCUCCAGUGCCCAGGCAUGAGUCAGAGAACCCUCACCAGGAGGGAGGGACCACCAUGCCGUCUCCAUCACACAUCACAAUCACAAGCGCAUGUACACAAUCAAGUCACCCUUCACACAAUCUCAAACACAACCACCAACACCCAUGUCAUCUCACACCCGGCCAUACAGUGUCACCGUCUCCCAUCUACAAUCACACCACCACAAAUGUAACAUACACACACUGUAUUUGUAAAGAACUGGGGUGGAUUUUCCCAGCCCACCACUCCACUUCUCUCUAGCUGAACUGCAGUUGGUCCUAGAGACUCCGCUGUCUCUUUGUGUCAUCAGGACAUGUUUUCAACUGCCCAAAGUGGUAACAGAUUGCCCUGAAAUGGCAUCAGAGGAUUCUCUGGCAAAGCUGAAUCUGAACCCCAGAGCAGGAAGGCCCUCGGCAAUCAUCUGGUCCUGAGGUUUUUAAGCUGUGUAUGCAGGGCUGGGGCUUCUCCAAGGCAGAGGCUCAGGGGCCGUGGCUGGAGAGCAGGGGUUGGUACUGGAUUGGGAGGCUGGGGAGGGACAGCAGGGGCCUCGCCCUCCCACCUCUGCUGCUCUAAUCAAAGUCAUUCUGCUGCAUCUGCUUCACACAGUGAACUUGAGAACAAAGCUUAUUUGGGUAAAAAAAAAUCAGAUUUUGUUUUCACUACAAACAGUUUAAAAAGCACCAGCCCAACCCUUCUGGUUAGAUAAAGAACCUAAGGCACAGGCUGGGUCAGUCACACAGCUGUGGGCAACUGAGUUGUGCUGAGGACUCAGGUAUCCUGGUGCUACACUAUGACCCAGAAGUGAGUGCUUUCCCGCGACU
Callithrix jacchus (white-tufted-ear marmoset) is the source of this 2287-nucleotide non-coding RNA. Lineage: Eukaryota; Metazoa; Chordata; Mammalia; Primates; Cebidae. The record is from RefSeq and is a predicted model, not a curated record.